AAUGAACGCUGGCGGCAUGCCUUACACAUGCAAGUCGAACGGCAGCAUGACCUAGCUUGCUAGGUUGAUGGCGAGUGGCGAACGGGUGAGUAAUGCAUCGGAACGUGCCUUUUAGUGGGGGAUAACGUAGCGAAAGUUACGCUAAUACCGCAUAUUCUCUGAGGAGGAAAGCAGGGGACCUUCGGGCCUUGCGCUAGAAGAGCGGCCGAUGUCGGAUUAGCUAGUUGGUGAGGUAAAGGCUCACCAAGGCAACGAUCCGUAGCGGGUCUGAGAGGAUGAUCCGCCACACUGCGACUGAGACACGGCCCAGACUCCUACGGGAGGCAGCAGUGGGGAAUUUUGGACAAUGGGCGCAAGCCUGAUCCAGCCAUGCCGCGUGAGUGAAGAAGGCCUUCGGGUUGUAAAGCUCUUUCGGCUGGGAAGAAAUCGCACCCUCUAAUACAGGGUGUGGAUGACGGUACCAGCAGAAGAAGCACCGGCUAACUACGUG
Molecule: ribosomal RNA, 490 nt
Filed under: uncultured bacterium
Lineage: Bacteria
Description: partial 16S ribosomal RNA
Rfam family: Bacterial small subunit ribosomal RNA
Source: RNAcentral